Molecule: ribosomal RNA, 295 nt
Filed under: uncultured bacterium
Lineage: Bacteria
Description: partial 16S ribosomal RNA
Rfam family: Bacterial small subunit ribosomal RNA
Source: RNAcentral
GACAAACGCUGGCGGCGUGUAUUAGGCAUGCAAGUCGAACGGACACUUCGGUGUCAGUGGCGGACGGGUGAGUAACACGUGGGUAACCUGCCCUUGAGUGGGGAAUAGCCAGCCGAAAGGCUGAUUAAUACCGCAUUCGACUCCCGGUGAGAAUCCGGGUAGUGAAAGCAUUUAUGCGCUCGAGGAGGGGCCCGCGGCCGAUUAGCUUGUUGGUGGGGUAAUGGCCUACCAAGGCGACGANCGGUAGCUGGUCUGAGAGGAUGGUCAGCCACACGGGGACUGAGAUACGGCCCCG